CAGGGAUUACCUCAGUAACGGCGAGUGAAGCGGUAACAGCUCAAAUUUGAAAUCUGGGCCCCUCGGGCCCCGAGUUGUAAUUUGGAGAAGAUGCUUCGGGUGCGGCGCCGGUCUAAGUUCCUUGGAACAGGACGUCACAGAGGGUGAGAAUCCCGUAUGUGAUCGGCCGCCUGCGCCCGUGUGAAGCUCUUUCGACGAGUCGAGUUGUUUGGGAAUGCAGCUCAAAAUGGGUGGUAUAUUUCAUCUAAAGCUAAAUAUUGGCCAGAGACCGAUAGCGCACAAGUAGAGUGAUCGAAAGAUGAAAAGCACUUUGGAAAGAGAGUUAAACAGUACGUGAAAUUGUUGAAAGGGAAGCGCUUGCGACCAGACUUGCGCGGGGCCGAUCAUCCGGGGUUCUCCCUGGUGCACUCGGCCUCGCUCAGGCCAGCAUCGGUCCUGGUGGCUGGAUAAAGGCCUUGGGAAUGUAGCUUCUCUCGGGGAGUGUUAUAGCCCUCGGCGCAAUGCAGCCUACUGGGACCGAGGACCGCGCUUCGGCUAGGAUGCUGGCGUAAUGGUCGCAAGCGACCCGUCUUGAAACACGGACCAAGGAGUCUAACAUCUAUGCGAGUGUUUGGGUGCCAAACCCAUCCGCGUAAUUAACGUGAACGGAGGUGAGAGCCCUGGAGGGUGCAUCACCGACCGGUCCUGAUGUCUUCGGAUGGAUCUGAGUAGGAGCAUAGCUGUUGGGACCCGAAAGAUGGUGAACUAUGCCUGAAUAGGGUGAAGCCAGAGGAAACUCUGGUGGAGGCUCGCAGCGGGUUCUGACGUGCAAAUCGAUCGUCAAAUUUGGGUAUAGGGGCGAAAGACUAAUCGAACCAUCUAGUAGCUGGUUCCUGCCGAAGUUUCCCUCAGGAUAGCAGUGUUGUAUUCAGUUUUAUGAGGU
RNAcentral lists this ribosomal RNA (922 nucleotides) under Dermea cerasi. Its description in RNAcentral is "eukaryotic LSU rRNA". It matches the Rfam family "Eukaryotic large subunit ribosomal RNA", at positions 69 to 1009 of the family's 3401-position model. The record is from RNAcentral. Lineage: Eukaryota; Fungi; Ascomycota; Leotiomycetes; Helotiales; Dermateaceae.